UUUCAAGUUUUAUUACUCCUUUUCAUUCCUUUCACUUCUUUUAUUAUUAUUAUAUGAUUAAUUAAAAAGGGGUUCUAUUAAUUAUAUCACUAUUUAAGUUAAUUUAUUGGUAUUUGUGUUAAUAAUUUUGUUGAUUCCUUUUAUCCUUUGGUUAAUUAAGGAAGAUUUAUUUAUCUCAGAACAUCCUCUAAUUAAUUAGGGAAGUUUUUGUUUAAUCCUAAGGAAACAUUUCACACUGCGAAAAUAGUUUUUUAGGAUAGUGCCUAACAUGACUCAAAUAUAAUUAAUAAAUUACUUAAAAUAAUAUCGUUAUUAUAUUUAUUCAAUAUUCAGUAUUAUUAAUUUUUCAAAAGUAAUUAUAUUACUGUUAUUAUAUUGAUUAUUAGAAGUAAUAUUAUUAUAUACUGUUAUAAUUAUUAUAUCGGUUAUAAUAUUAUUAUUUUAGUAUUAUUAUUUAUUAUAUUUUGUUGUACUUCUAUUAUUAUUAUUAUUAUUAUUUUUUGUUAACAGUUAAAUAAUAUUGUUAUUAUUAUUUUAUCGUCUUCCCCAACAGUAAUUACCUGGGAGGUGCUAAAGCUAAGACAUCGGAGUAGCAGUAGCCGAUCGGAGAGUAGCAAUUACUGGAGCGGAGAGUAGCAAUUACUGGAGUCGAUAGGUUUUGGGGGGAAAUGAAAGAGAGAUGGGUCGUUUUGGGGGAAAUUAAUAGCCCAAUUAAAAAAAUGAGGGGAAAUAUUUUUUUCGAUGUAAAAAGGAGGCAACACUUAGUGUUAUUUUUUUUUUAUGAAUAGCGGAGUUUAAAACCCCUGCGAAUCUAUAAAUUUUAGCAACACAUGUUUAACUCCGCGUUAAAUAUAAUUUUAUAAAAAUUAAAAUAACCCCCGCAGUUAGACUCGUUUUUUGUAGUGAUUGUUGUUUGGCCAGACUAAAACAAAUAUAAUCCCAGAAAACAUUCAAAAGAAGAGGUCUAGUACUAAUUAUUCUAGAAAGCAUUUGUAGAUCGAAGGAACAUUAGGAUCAAUUGAGUUAGCAAAUCUAAUAUGUGACCAACAUGGUUGUGGUGCAGCGGAUGGGGCUGCUCAAUCCUUAACCAGAGGUCGAGGGUUCGAUUCUGAGCAUGGAGAAAAUUCUGUUGGGAGUGCUACCCCCAAAUGGGGCCCUACACAGUGUGAAUUUAAAUUAGUCGGGUUUCAAUAUAGGUACCAGACACCGAAUGAAAACAAAAAAAAAUCUAAUAUAUGACUAUGCUUCAAGCUUUUUUCAGUUUGUCUUUCAAUUUGGCUCCUCAUUCGAGAACUUCAAAGUAGCUCUAUAUUUCAUUCAUAUCCCAAUUCCAUUUUAUUUAAUAUCGAGUUGCAUUAAUUUAGACUUCAAAGUAACUCUGUAUUUCAUUGCAUUAAUUUAUCAUAUUAUUUCUUGCAUUAAAAGCAGACUAUAUCACUAGUUAUAG
Molecule: long non-coding RNA, 1447 nt
Filed under: Capsicum annuum
Lineage: Eukaryota; Viridiplantae; Streptophyta; Magnoliopsida; Solanales; Solanaceae
Description: long non-coding RNA (CANN_LNC006554)
Source: RNAcentral